RNAcentral lists this ribosomal RNA (1516 nucleotides) under Lactobacillus sp. OR 11. RNAcentral's name for it is "16S ribosomal RNA". It matches the Rfam family "Bacterial small subunit ribosomal RNA". Lineage: Bacteria; Bacillati; Bacillota; Bacilli; Lactobacillales; Lactobacillaceae. The record is from RNAcentral.
AUACAUGCAAGUCGUACGCACUGGCCCAACUGAUUGAUGGUGCUUGCACCUGAUUGACGAUGGAUCACCAGUGAGUGGCGGACGGGUGAGUAACACGUAGGUAACCUGCCCCGGAGCGGGGGAUAACAUUUGGAAACAGAUGCUAAUACCGCAUAACAACAAAAGCCACAUGGCUUUUGUUUGAAAGAUGGCUUUGGCUAUCACUCUGGGAUGGACCUGCGGUGCAUUAGCUAGUUGGUAAGGUAACGGCUUACCAAGGCGAUGAUGCAUAGCCGAGUUGAGAGACUGAUCGGCCACAAUGGAACUGAGACACGGUCCAUACUCCUAGGGGAGGCAGCAGUAGGGAAUCUUCCACAAUGGGCGCAAGCCUGAUGGAGCAACACCGCGUGAAUGAAGAAGGGUAUGGGGUCGUAAAGCUUUGUGUGUUGGAUGUUGGAAAAGAAUGUGCGUGAGAGUAACUGUUCACGCAGUGACGGUAUCCAACCAGAAAGUCACGGCUAACUACGUGCCAGCAGCCGCGGUAAUACGUAGGUGGCAAGCGUUAUCCGGAUUUAUUGGGCGUAAAGCGAGCGCAGGCGGUUGCUUAGGUCUGAUGUGAAAGUUCGGCUUAACCGAAGAAGUGCAUCGGAAACCGGGCGACUUGAGUGCAGAAGAGGACAGUGGAACUCCAUGUGUAGCGGUGGAAUGCGUAAAUAUAUGGAAGAACACCAGUGGCGAAGGCGGCUGUCUGGUCUGCAACUGACGCUGAGGCUCGAAAGCAUGGGUUAGCGAUGAGGUUGAAAACACAAUGGAACGAACGGGAUUAGAUACCCUGGUAGUUCCCCCGUAAACGAUGAGUGCUAGGUGUUGGACGGUUUCCGCCCUUCAGUGCCGGAGCUAACGCAUUAAGCACUCCGCCUGGGGAGUACGACCGCAAGGUUGAAACUCAAAGGAAUUGACGGGGGCCCGCACAAGCGGUGGAGCAUGUGGUUUAAUUCGAAGCUACGCGAAGAACCUUACCAGGUCUUGACAUCUUGCGCUAACCUUAGAGAUAAGGCGUUCCCUUCGGGGACGCAAUGACAGGUGGUGCAUGGUCGUCGUCAGCUCGUGUCGUGAGAUGUUGGGUUAAGUCCCGCAACGAGCGCAACCCUUGUUACUAGUUGCCAGCAUUAAGUUGGGCACUCUAGUGAGACUGCCGGUGACAAACCGGAGGAAGGUGGGGACGACGUCAGAUCAUCAUGCCCCUUAUGACCUGGGCUACACACGUGCUACAAUGGACGGUACAACGAGUCGCAAGCUCGCGAGAGUAAGCUAAUCUCUUAAAGCCGUUCUCAGUUCGGACUGUAGGCUGCAACUCGCCUACACGAAGUCGGAAUCGCUAGUAAUCGCGGAUCAGCAUGCCGCGGUGAAUACGUUCCCGGGCCUUGUACACACCGCCCGUCACACCAUGGGAGUUUGUAACGCCCAAAGUCGGUGGCCUAACCUUUAUGGAGGGAGCCGCCUAAGGCGGGACAGAUGACUGGGGUGAAGUCGUAAC